UGCCCCAUAGUCUGGGAUACCACUUGGAAACAGGUGCUAAUACCGGAUAAGAAAGCGGAUCGCAUGACCAGCUUUUAAAAGGCGGCGUAAGCUGUCGCUAUGGGAUGGCCCCGCGGUGCAUUAGCUAGUUGGUAAGGUAAAGGCUUACCAAGGCGAUGAUGCAUAGCCGAGUUGAGAGACUGAUCGGCCACAUUGGGACUGAGACACGGCCCAAACUCCUACGGGAGGCAGCAGGC
This 236-nucleotide ribosomal RNA is filed under the name uncultured Lactobacillus sp. RNAcentral's name for it is "partial 16S ribosomal RNA". It matches the Rfam family "Bacterial small subunit ribosomal RNA", at positions 127 to 354 of the family's 1533-position model. Lineage: Bacteria; Bacillati; Bacillota; Bacilli; Lactobacillales; Lactobacillaceae. The record is from RNAcentral.